This 543-nucleotide ribosomal RNA is filed under the name Streptomyces sp. 303C03. Its description in RNAcentral is "bacterial SSU rRNA". It matches the Rfam family "Bacterial small subunit ribosomal RNA", at positions 93 to 650 of the family's 1533-position model. Lineage: Bacteria; Bacillati; Actinomycetota; Actinomycetes; Kitasatosporales; Streptomycetaceae. The record is from RNAcentral.
UAGUGGCGAACGGGUGAGUAACACGUGGGCAAUCUGCCCUGCACUCUGGGACAAGCCCUGGAAACGGGGUCUAAUACCGGAUGAUACCCGGGGGCGCAUGCCCUUGGGUUGAAAGCUCCGGCGGUGCAGGAUGAGCCCGCGGCCUAUCAGCUUGUUGGUGGGGUGAUGGCCUACCAAGGCGACGACGGGUAGCCGGCCUGAGAGGGCGACCGGCCACACUGGGACUGAGACACGGCCCAGACUCCUACGGGAGGCAGCAGUGGGGAAUAUUGCACAAUGGGCGAAAGCCUGAUGCAGCGACGCCGCGUGAGGGAUGACGGCCUUCGGGUUGUAAACCUCUUUCAGCAGGGAAGAAGCGAGAGUGACGGUACCUGCAGAAGAAGCGCCGGCUAACUACGUGCCAGCAGCCGCGGUAAUACGUAGGGCGCAAGCGUUGUCCGGAAUUAUUGGGCGUAAAGAGCUCGUAGGCGGCUUGUCACGUCGGGUGUGAAAGCCCGGGGCUUAACCCCGGGUCUGCAUUCGAUACGGGCAGGCUAGAGUGUG